AAUUAAAAAAAAAAACCGGUACCCAUUAUUCCAAACCGGUUCAAGUAAUGGUUUCCACAUCCCAACUUUCAGAAACAUACGCAGAAACAUACGCAGCAAGAACGUCUAUUCCAAACCCUAAUCCCAAUCUUCUUCGUCUCUUCUUCGUCUCUUCUUCAUCAUUCUUCGUCUCUUCUCCAAAUCACAACCAUGGGUUAGUCAAAAUAGUUGUGAUAUCGGCAAAAUCGUUCUUCGAAUCCAACGAAUUCCUCCUUCAACAACGUCUCCACAAGCUUUCUUCUCACAAUCAGGUUCAAAAGAAAGCUCUACCAACAUUUUCACUCUACAUCUUUCAUUGAUACUGAGGUUGAGAUUGUGAUGAGAGUUGAGGAAGAAUUUGGCAUUAGCGUGGAAGAAGAAAGUGCUCA
This is a long non-coding RNA of Vicia villosa (hairy vetch), 407 nucleotides long. RefSeq lists it as uncharacterized. The transcript has 3 exons. NCBI's taxonomy places the organism in Eukaryota, Viridiplantae, Streptophyta, Magnoliopsida, Fabales, Fabaceae. The record is from RefSeq and is a predicted model, not a curated record.